Molecule: ribosomal RNA, 253 nt
Filed under: uncultured bacterium
Lineage: Bacteria
Description: partial 16S ribosomal RNA
Rfam family: Bacterial small subunit ribosomal RNA
Source: RNAcentral
UACGUAGGUGACAAGCGUUAUCCGGAUUUAUUGGGCGUAAAGCGCACGCAGGCGGCUCUUCAAGUCUGACGUGAAAUCUCUCGGCUUAACCGGGAGCGGUCGUUGGAAACUGAAGGGCUUGAGGCGAUGAGAGGGGUGUGGAAUUCCCGGUGUAGUGGUGGAAUGCGUAGAUAUCGGGAGGAACACCGAUGGCGAAGGCAGGUCUCUGGGCAUUAACUGACGCUGAGGAGCGAAAGCAUGGGGAGCGAACAGG